GAUGAACGCUGGCGGCGUGCCUAAUACAUGCAAGUCGAGCGAACAGACGAGGAGCUUGCUCCUCUGACGUUAGCGGCGGACGGGUGAGUAACACGUGGAUAACCUACCUAUAAGACUGGGAUAACUUCGGGAAACCGGAGCUAAUACCGGAUAAUAUAUUGAACCGCAUGGUUCAAUAGUGAAAGACGGUUUUGCUGUCACUUAUAGAUGGAUCCGCGCCGCAGUAGCUAGUUGGUAAGGUAACGGCUUACCAAGGCAACGAUGCGUAGCCGACCUGAGAGGGUGAUCGGCCACACUGGAACUGAGACACGGGCCAGACUCCUACGGGAGGCAGCAGUAGGGAAUCUUCCGCAAUGGGCGAAAGCUUGACGGAGCAACGCCGCGUGAGUGAUGAAGGUCUUCGGAUCGUAAAACUCUGUUAUUAGGGAAGAACAAAUGUGUAAGUAACUAUGCACGUCUUGACGGUACCUAAUCAGAAAGCCACGGCUAACUACGUG
This 497-nucleotide ribosomal RNA is filed under the name uncultured bacterium. RNAcentral describes it as "partial 16S ribosomal RNA". It matches the Rfam family "Bacterial small subunit ribosomal RNA", at positions 28 to 507 of the family's 1533-position model. The record is from RNAcentral.